This 253-nucleotide ribosomal RNA is filed under the name uncultured bacterium. RNAcentral describes it as "partial 16S ribosomal RNA". It matches the Rfam family "Bacterial small subunit ribosomal RNA", at positions 524 to 776 of the family's 1533-position model. The record is from RNAcentral.
UACGUAGGGGGCAAGCGUUGUCCGGAAUCAUUGGGCGUAAAGCGCGUGUAGGCGGUUCUGUAAGUCUGCUGUGAAAGUCCAGGGCUCAACCCUGGGAUGCCGGUGGAUACUGCAGGGCUAGAGUACGGAAGAGGCGAGUGGAAUUCCCGGUGUAGCGGUGAAAUGCGCAGAUAUCGGGAGGAACACCUAUUGCGAAGGCAGCUCGCUGGGACGUUACUGGCGCUGAGACGCGAAAGCGUGGGGAGCAAACAGG